Molecule: RNA transcript, 8378 nt
Organism: Gavialis gangeticus (Gharial)
Lineage: Eukaryota; Metazoa; Chordata; Crocodylia; Gavialidae
Gene: NCOA2
Gene name: nuclear receptor coactivator 2
Exons: 25
Source: RefSeq, a predicted model, not a curated record
CCAUUGAAAUAAACAAGCAGCCAGUUAUUAAAACGGGAACAUGGCGGCCGCGGACCCAGCCACAGCUUCAUUUUGCAAAGCGCAGCGCAGCGCGGGCGGCCGCCGCCGCCGCCGGACACGCCAGUGACCCCGUACACCUGAGAUGUAUCUGAGUACUGAAGCUCAUACACACACAACCUGUAGAACUGUUUUAACUGCCUCAUUGAGUCUUGGUCUUUGAAUUCGGGGUCUGACUGAAUUUUUCCAGUUGCUGAUAUGUGUUCAAGAUGAGUGGGAUGGGAGAAAAUUCCUCUGACCCAUCUAGGGCAGAGUCAAGGAAGCGAAAGGAAUGUCCUGAUCAGCUUGGACCCAGCCCUAAAAGAAGCACUGAGAAACGUAACCGUGAGCAGGAGAAUAAAUACAUAGAAGAACUUGCAGAGCUGAUUUUUGCAAAUUUUAAUGAUAUUGACAACUUUAACUUUAAACCUGACAAAUGUGCAAUCUUAAAAGAAACUGUGAAGCAAAUUCGUCAGAUAAAAGAACAAGAAAAAGCUGCAGCAGCCAAUGAAGAUGAAGUACAAAAAGCAGAUGUAUCAUCUACAGGUCAGAGUGUCAUUGACAAGGAUGCACUUGGACCAAUGAUGCUUGAGGCCCUAGAUGGGUUCUUCUUUGUAGUGAACCUGGAAGGCAAUGUUGUGUUUGUUUCUGAGAAUGUGACACAGUACCUAAGGUACAACCAAGAAGAGCUGAUGAACACAAGUGUGUACAGCAUCCUGCAUGUAGGGGACCACAAUGAAUUUGUCAGAAAUCUGCUGCCAAAAUCUUUAGUGAAUGGGGGACCUUGGUCUGGUGAAGCUGCUAGGCGCAACAGUCAUACCUUUAAUUGUCGGAUGCUGGUAAAACCUUCAACUGAUUCUGAAGAAGGCCAUGAUAACCAGGAAGCACAUCAAAAAUAUGAAACUAUGCAGUGCUUUGCUGUUUCUCAACCAAAGUCCAUCAAGGAGGACGGUGAAGAUUUGCAGUCAUGCUUGAUUUGUGUGGCAAGAAGAGUCCCAGUGAAGGAAAGGCCACUUCCCUCAUCAGAGAAUUUUACUACUCGCCAAGACCUACAAGGUAAGAUAACAUCACUGGACACUAGCACCAUGAGAGCAGCCAUGAAGCCUGGCUGGGAGGAUUUGGUGAGAAGGUGCAUUCAAAGAUUCCAUGCACAGCAUGAGGGAGAGAUAUCAUUUGCCAAAAGGCAUCACCAAGAAGUGCUGAGGCAGGGACUAGCGUUCAGUCCUGUCUAUCGAUUUUCCUUGUCUGAUGGCACUAUAGUUGCUGCCCAAACAAAGAGCAGGCUCAUCCGUUCUCAGACUAAUGAACCUCAGCUUGUAAUAUCCUUGCAUAUGCUUCACAGAGAGCAGAAUGUCUGUGGAAUGAAUCAGGAUUUGCCUGGACAAGCAGUGGGAAAGACAUUGAACCCAAUUAGUUCCAGCAGCCCUGCCCAUCAGGCUAUGUGCAGUGGGAAUCCAGGUCAGGAUAUGACCAUCAGUAGCAAUAUAAAUUUUGCCAUAAAUGGCCCAAAGGAACAAAUGGGCAUGCCAGCAGGCAGGUUUGGUGGUUCAGGGGGAAUGAACCAUGUGUCAAGCAUACAAGCAUCCACACCUCAGGGUAGUAACUAUGCACUAAAAAUUAAUAGUCCCUCACAAAGCAGCCCUGGCAUGAACCCAGGACAGCCAAACUCUAUGCUUUCCCCAAGGCAUCGUGUGAGUCCUGGAGUGGCAGGAAGUCCUCGAAUCCCACCCAGUCAAUUUUCCCCUGCAGGAAGCUUGCAUUCACCUGUGGGAGUUUGCAGCAGCACAGGAAAUAGCCAUAGUUAUACCAACAGUUCCCUAAAUGCACUUCAAGCCCUCAGUGAGGGCCAUGGAGUUUCUCUAGGGUCAUCGUUGGCUUCACCUGACCUAAAAAUGGGUAACUUACAAAAUUCCCCGGUUAAUAUGAAUCCUCCUCAGCUAAGCAAAAUGGGAAGCCUGGACUCUAAAGACUGCUUUGGACUUUAUGGGGAGCAAUCAGAAGGUACAACUGGACAAACAGAAAGUACCUGCCAUUCAGGAGAACAGAAAGACAGUAAUGAUAACAACAUGCCCCAAGUUGUCAGUAGUGAGAGACCUGAUGGACAGAACAGACUGCAUGAUGGAAAAAGCCAGACAAAGCUCUUACAAUUGCUGACCACCAAAUCUGAUCAGAUGGAGCCUUCACCCUUGUCCAAUCCCACUGGAGACGUUAGCAAAGACUCCACAGGAGGUUUAUCUGGUUCUGGUUCAGCACAUGGAACCUCGCUCAAGGAGAAGCAUAAAAUUUUGCACAGACUUUUGCAGGAUAGUAGUUCUCCUGUAGAUUUGGCCAAGCUUACAGCAGAGGCCACAGGCAAAGAACUGAAUCAGGAGUCCAAUAGCACAGCUCCUGGUUCAGAGGUGACUGUUAAACAGGAACCAGUGAGUCCUAAGAAGAAAGAGAAUGCACUACUUCGCUACUUGCUAGAUAAAGAUGAUACUAAAGAUAUUGGCUUAUCAGACGUAACCCCAAAACUGGAGCGGUUGGAUAGUAAGACGGACACUUCUGGUAGCACAAAAUUAAUAGCUAUGAAGACAGAAAAGGAGGAGAUAAACUUUGAGCCCAACGAACAGCCAGGCAGUGAAUUGGAUAACUUGGAGGAGAUUCUGGAUGAUCUACAGAACAGUCAGUUACCACAGCUUUUCCCAGAUACUCGGCCAGGUGCUCCAGCUGGUUCAGUUGACAAGCAAGCCAUUAUCAAUGACCUCAUGCAGCUUACUGGUGAAAACAGCUCUAGCACUUCCACUGGGGCCCAGAAACCAGCAAUGAGGAUUUCGCAGAACACUUUUAAUAACCCACGGGCAGGGCAACUGAGCAGGUUAUUACCAAACCAGAAUUUACCACUUGACAUUACACUGCAAAGCCCAACAGGUGCAGGAAAUUUCCCUCCUAUAAGAAAUAAUAGUCCAUAUUCAGUGAUACCUCAGCCAGGAAUGAUGGGCAGUAUGAUUGGAAAUCAAGGAGCUUUAGGAAACAAUAACGCAGGAAUGAUUGGUGGUAAUACCCCUCGGCCUGCCAUGACAUCUGGAGAGUGGGGAGCCCCAGGUUCUGCUGUAAGGGUAACUUGUGCUGCUACAACCAGUGCCAUGAAUAGGCCAAUCCAAGGAGGCAUGAUACGUAACCCAACAGCCAGCAUUCCUCUGAGACCCAGCAGCCAACCUGCCCCAAGACAGAUGCUACAAUCUCAGGUCAUGAAUAUGGGGCCCUCUGAAUUGGAGAUGAAUAUAGGGGGACCUCAAUAUAGCCAACAGCCAGCCCCUCCAAAUCAGACUGCACCAUGGCCAGACAGCAUCUUGCCUAUAGAUCAGGCAACUUUUAGCAAUCAGAACAGGCAACCAUUUGGCAGCUCACCAGAUGACUUGCUGUGUAAUCAUCCUUCAUCAGAGUCACCAAGUGAUGAGGGGACUCUCCUGGAUCAGCUUUAUAUGGCACUAAGAAAUUUUGAUGGCCUAGAAGAAAUUGACAGGGCUCUAGGAAUACCAGAACUGGUUAGCCAGAGCCAGGCUGUAGAUCCAGAGACAUUCUCAAGUCAGGAUUCGAACAUCAUAAUAGAACAAAAGGCACCAGUUUUCACUCAACAGUAUGCAUCUCAGGCUCAAAUGGCCCAGGGUAGCUAUACACCCAUGCAGGAUCCAAACUUUCACCCAAUAGGACAGCGACCUGGUUAUCCAACGCUGCGUAUGCAAACUAGGCCUGGUCUCAGGCCUACUGGUAUAGUGCAGAACCAACCAAAUCAGCUGAGACUUCAACUUCAACAUAGACUCCAAGCACAGCAGAAUCGCCAGCCCCUGAUAAAUCAGAUCAGCAGUGUCUCCAACAUGAACCUGUCUCUGAGGCCUGGAGUACCAACACAGGGACCUCUCAAUGCACAGAUGCUGGCCCAGAGGCAGAGGGAGAUACUGAGUCAGCACCUAAGGCAAAGACAGAUGCACCAGCAACAGCAGGUGCAACAGCGAACUCUAAUGAUGAGAGGACAGGGUUUGAAUAUGACACCGAGCAUGGUGGCCUCUGGUGGUAUACCAGCAACCAUGAGCAACCCACGGAUUCCACAAGCAAAUGCACAGCAGUUUCCAUUUCCUCCAAACUACGGAAUAAGUCAGCAACCUGAUCCAGGCUUCACAGGGGCUACCACUCCCCAGAGUCCACUGAUGUCCCCAAGGAUGGCUCAUACUCAGAGUCCUAUGAUACAGCAGUCUCAGGCUAACCCUGCCUAUCAGUCCUCUACAGAGAUGAAUGGAUGGGCACAAGGGAACAUGGGUGGGAACAGCAUGUUUUCACAACAAUCCCCACCACAUUUUGGGCAGCAAGCAAGCACCAGCAUGUAUAAUAACAACAUGAACAUCAGUGUAUCCAUGGCAACCAACACAAGUGGUAUGAACAACAUGAACCAGAUGACAGGGCAGAUCAGCAUGACCUCAGCGACCUCUGUGCCUACAUCAGGGUUGUCCUCCAUGGGUCCUGAGCAGGUUAAUGAUCCUGCUAUGAGGGGAGGCAAUCUUUUUCCAAACCAGCUGCCUGGAAUGGAUAUGAUAAAGCAGGAGGGGGAUGCAACACGGAAAUAUUGCUGACCCUGAAGGUUGUUGGUUGCUCCCUUCUCCAGCUGACUGGGCUCCCCAGCCCAAAACCCUAACCAGUUUGAAGAGCUGCAUCUGUUUGUUAUGACCCAUCUGACCUGCCAGCCAGUUCCACUGGAGCAAGUUCAGCUAAGCGCUGCAGACAGGACUCAGCUCUGCCUUCCAGAGUGGGGUCAAAAUGGUUGUUGCUGGAAGAGCAGCCUCUUCUUUGACAGUCUGAAGCUAGCGUACAGACAGUUGCUCAGUCUGUUCACUGCAUUCACCUUAGUGCAACUUAGAUCUCUCCUGCAAAGUAAAUGUUGACAGGCAAUUUUCAUAAACCAUGUCAGAUUGAAUGUAUUUAAAUGUAUGUAAUUAAGGAAUAACAACCAUGCUCUCGUUCUGUUUCUGUUUAGUUCUAGACCUUAUUUUUUUGCUUUGUUUUCCCUGGCUACUCAGUCUGGUGCAAAGGAUUCAGUUCCAUCUGAAAAUUUGUGUUUUAAACUAAGGCCUGCAUUUUGGGGGUGGGGAGUGGAUCAAAACCUGGUAAGGGUGGGAGGCAAUGUCUGGUGCAUAUACAAAUAUAAUAAGUGGGUUUGAUUUCAAGGACAAGUUAGGGAAGGUGAACGUGUAGAAUACUGUACGAAUCAAUUUUGAAUGGGUUCAAAGUUGUGAAACGGGCUAAGAAUACUCUGUGAGAGGGCUGUUUACAAGGCACAUUUUUUAAUGCUUGUAAUACCAAUCAUGAAUCAAAAAGAUCGAUGUAAGUUACUUUUUUGUUAAAUUCCUAAAAAUCAGCAACCAUGAUUUUACCUGACUCUUGACAUUUUUCUCAUUCACCUCUUCUAUACAAUAAAAGAACAGGUAAGCCCUUCAUUUCCCUAAGUGUGUUACCAGCAGUUUAGACUGCAAGUAACCAGUUGCUGAAUAAUGGGGUUCAAUGAGAAUGCAUUUACUGGUGAUGGUAGUGGCAGAAUUGGUGCAUAAUAUCAAAAAGAGCUAAAGACACCUGCUUUAAAACAUGUUAAUUUCCAUUCCCUGUCCCCUUUGUUGGGAAAAUAAUGAUUUUUUAAAAACCUAUGGCAGAUAUCACUACAGGCAGAACCACCAUCGUGCAUUUUUAAUUAUUUUAAAGCAGUGUGGACUCUGAGGAAGUUUUGUAAGGUACAUAAAAUCCAGUUUAUAUAUAAACAAGCAAUAAUUUAAGUUCAAAACUUAAGUGUUUUAACUGUAUAAUUUUUGUGAGAUAUACAUGUUGUGGAGUUGAUUCCAAAUGAGGUACUUCAGUAUUAAAUUAGAUAUCUUCAUAGCUGUGUGUGUCUCCUGAAAAAGUGUUUUGUAAAGGAUCACAAUGCCUUGAUUAGACCUAAUUUGUAGGCUUGAGAGUUUUCAUUUUUUAAACCUUGUGAUUCUGCUCAUGAAGUCAUUUAUCUAAACUAUAUUAUAUGCAGCCACUGUAGGAACCAAUUCUUGAUUUUUGUAUGUUUAUAUUCUUUCUUAAUGACUCUUAGAGAAACUAACUGUUACUAAGCAGGCCACUGUGGGGGUGGCUUUUUUCUUGCCCAUUGGGGUUGGAGUAAUCUUUACAAAACUGGCAUCAGUUUAUGAGGACUUGAAAUACCAAGGAAUUGAUGAAGUUCUUUGACUUCCUGUUUCUUUCCUCUAACUCCCAAUCCACACACUUUCUUACCUGAUCUCCAAUGUUUUGAUGUCAUUUAAAAUGCAAUGCAUUUGAUAAUAUCUCAUCAGCCAUGUCUUUUGGGAGUGAAAGGUUUAUUUUCUUGUAAUUUGAUUUUUUUUUGAGGUGGGGAUUAAAAUGUACAAACCUACUUCUUGCUCUAUAUAAAGCUGAAGAAAAUAUGUUAAAGAUGAUUGGAAAGAGCUGUUUUCCAUGGAGCAGUUUUGCUGAAAACCAAGGAAAAUCAGAAUCUGUUUGUCUCCUGUGAGGGGGAUUCAAAACCCAUGGGAAAAAAAUAUCUUUCAGCAGUUACCAUUUUGUUGAUCAAACUAAAAAAAGGAAAUACUUAAUCAACUGAGCCAUUGUGUUUUGCUCUGGUGAAAAACUAAAGUAACUGUCAGCCCUGAGCUCCAUAGCCUCAUUGACAUGAUGACAUUUGUAUUAAAUAUACAUUAUAUACCUGAUUUUAAAUUAUUUAUAUAAGAAUUGUAUAAAUUAGAAGGACUUUAAUGUCAUGCAACACAAAGUGUAAAUGGGUUUUAAACUAAUUCUGUUUGUAUUAUAUUUUGUUUCUAACCUCUUUUCAUAACCUUUGGCACCAUGGACAAAAUUAGCAGUUUAUAUUUCUCCCAAUUCAUGACAGAUCUGCACAUCUUUCUAAUAUAUUUGCGAUUGUUAGCUCAUCACCCAUUUUCAUUUUAAAAGAAAAUAGAUUUUACCUAUCCCGUUGGCUCAGAUUGCGUUCCUGCUGUUUUAGUUACUGUCUAACUAAUUAAAAACACGAGUGAAGGAUUUUUCUGAUCAUAUUGAUCACUGUAGAAACAAAAAUAAAAAACCAAAUCAAGUCCCUUCAUCUUCAGUAUUUUUCAUCCUGUAUACAGCAGAUUUGUUGGAGAAAGUAUUCAAAUUUUGUUUAUUAGACAAAAAAACAGUGUUCAAGUUACAUUGCUAAAUGUGAAAACACAUAAUGUGAAAAAUUAACAUACAUAAACUUGGUAAUAUGACCCAUUUAAGUGUUCACGUAAUGUAGUAAGUUUGAAAAGUGGACUGAGCUGUUUUGCUAUAACAAAUUAAUUUGUACUUAAAGUUGAAAAUAUUGUCCCACACAAUAUCUCUCUUGGUCUGUAUUAAUAGAAAGCAAUGUUUUUGCAGUUUAUAUAAUGCAUUUUUUAGUCUUUGUUUAAAAUGGAGUUCAUAUGGGCUUAACAGAUGAAGUGGGUGGCACAGCUCCACUUGCAGAACCCAAAGAUACACAAUCAGUUUUGAAAUGCAACUUAAGCCAUUAAUUGUUGGUGUGAAUUUAAAGUUUUCUAGUAUUUGUAUGGUAGUAUGCUGCCUAAGAGCAAAAGCAUUCUCUGCACAAAAAAUUACUGUAGUGGCUUUGAUUUUAAUUAGAAUUUUCUCCCUGGUGUUUCUUUGUAGACUAAAACAAAAUCUUUUCAGUUUCUUACUACAGGUAAAGCUAUGUGCAAGAACCUCAAAAUGCUAAAAUCUAGCAUAAUGCCUUAGAUCUGUUUUUAAGUCUUGUAUAUUCCUACAUAGCUGUCUGAUGUAUUAUAUUUGUAUAGUGAAUUGUGUACAAUUUUGGAAUAAGUGCAUCAUCACUUAUCUUUAUGUUGCUCGGUAGAGAUGAUGGACACGUUUCUUCAAACAUUUACUGUCAUUUAAUUUUUCCCUUUUGUCAUUUGUGGGUUUUAUUUGUACAGUUCCUCAUGAAGUUGCAUCUGAGAUGUGUGUAUAUGAAAAGAUUAUACAAGGGUAAAAUUUAAGCAAUAUAUUAACUAUGGUUCUUCAGGAGAAAGCUUACAGUGUUUCAGGUUGUGAUUUAUUUUCAAAAUGGAGUUGACUCUGAACAUCACCUUGUUCACCUGCAUUGAUGUUUGUAUUUCUAGUGUGAGCAGUUUAUGCAAAGGUAGAUAUAUUCAGAGAAAUUUUAAAUACAUUUAUGCAAGUUAAUAUUGCUUUGCUGAUGCUAUUUGCUUAUUUGAUGUUAAAUAAUGCUAUUGUAAAUAAAGAAUUCUGUUGUUAUUGCAUCAUUUAAUAAAUUUUAAUGCCUUCGGGUUUUACAUGGC